This is a long non-coding RNA of Bos taurus (domestic cattle), 4502 nucleotides long. The record is from Ensembl. Lineage: Eukaryota; Metazoa; Chordata; Mammalia; Artiodactyla; Bovidae.
UACCCAUUUAUAAAUAAGUACAUUUGCUUUCAUACAUACAGUUCAUUGUACAGAUGGCGAUCUGUAUACAUGGGCAGGAAAUUGCAUUCAUUUAACUUUUCACAUCUAUCUCACACAGCUCACAUGUACAGACAAUAAAACUGCUCAAGCAAGGACAGCAAAGGAAAAUGUCUUUCCUUAUACACAGGGGGCUAGAUGCCUCUGUUGGGUGUGGGACCUCCCCACUGCACGAGUUCACAACCGUGUGGUGUUCAAUAUAUCAGGAUAGAGAACAAACAUGCAUUGGAUAAUAUACUGUACAGAGAAAGUCCUUUACAUCUGAGUUAUAGAAAACCUAAAGGAAAACUAAGUGCAUUAAAGCUUUUUCCAGCAAGUGUCUUGAAAGGACAGCAAAGAGGAGGAAGAAUCAAAAUCAUGUUAGUACAAAUCACUCUUUAAUUGUAGACUGUACAGGUCUGUACUAAUUAAAAUCAUCUUGGAUUUGGAGGAGACAGAACAGAGACAAAGAUGCUAUGCUGGAUGGAAAGGAGGCCAAGCCUGAGAAUGGCACCUGCCCUGAGCCUGACGAGGAACUGGCCCCACUCAGCAGGAAUCAGCCAGAGGAAAAAAAAAAUAGAAAUGAAAACACCUCCCCCCCCCAAAAAAAAAACCAACCCAAACUGGAACAGGAAGUGUAACUUACAGGAUUUCCAAAAUAACCCGUGAAGGAAGCAGAGAUCUGGAGCCAGCAUUUCUAAUUUUUUUUCCAGUAAGUUGGUUCACAAUAAGGCAGGUACAUUCAAGUACUGAAUUUUCCAGAAAUAACUCUGUCUGGUCCUGGGGACCAAAGGGAUUGAGUCGAGUUCCCCUAACCAGGUGUUCUGGUUAGUGAUUAGGCAAAAGAAAAAUCCAGCCAGCGAGUGCUACAGCAACAAAGCAGCUAGGCUCCUUCCUUUCCACAGAGUAGGCGUAAAAAAAAACAAGAGGGAUGUUGGUCUGCACCUGUGUGUGUCCAGCAAAAACCUGACAGGUCAGCUUAGCAGAGAUAUCACAGAGUCAGCAGGAAGAAAUGAGAUGGAACGGGUGAGGAGACAUGUAAGUUAACACUUGAUUUUUGGUGUCCAAUUACGUGUUCAUUUGGUACUGACUUUCAAAGCUCUGGCUGUGGCCAUCAGCUGGCCACAAGCAUCUCAGGGUGGUUCAGCUGCUGUGAGGCACUGGACACCGAAAUGCAGGUUCCCAACACUUCAGCCCUUGAGUGGUCUGUAUUAUAAAAGUUGAUGAAGACCCAGUGAGUAUUCAAGUACCUUUGCACAGUGGCUCCACCAGCCCCGUUGUGCUUGUGUCCAGGCCCCCAGCCAGCCACCUUGUCUUGGGAGCAGCCAGAGCGGAGUUCAAGGCAUUGCACGGUGAAGGUUUCCAUGACACGUCUUUGUAGGUAGCUCCUACCCCUAAGCCCUUUGUUCAUUGUUGUUAGUCAUGGUAGAUGGUCAGUCUGGAAUUCCUAGAGGAGAAGGAAGAGAAAGCCCUACCUCCCAGUGCGCAUGCCACCACCACAGGCCUGGCGUGGGAGCAGCGGCAGCUGCCUCUGCGGGGUGGCUUUUCAAGAAGCAGGCAGCCCAGGGACAGACAGGCGGGGUGGGGGUGGGGAGGCUGGGAUGGGGUUGGGCAAACCCUGCCCCACGGGGGUGCCUGUUCCAUUUUUGUGGCAAAGAUUCAGUGAGCAACAGGUGUUGUCCAAGGCAAUUCUGCAGUAGAAAAAUAACUUUGAAUUCUUUGAAUUGAACCAUCCAACUGUGACACCUCUGGAGUUAUACAAGUUGGAGGCCGAGAGGAACUGAGAGGGUGCUCAUGGGGAAGGGAGGGGUCUUCUACAUUCCCAUCCACCCACCGGAGAGAGCAAGGGAGAUCUGGUCAGCCUACCCCCAGUCUCUGCCUGGCUGAAGGUCCAAAGCAGGUAGUGUUCAAAGAGUGUAUCCUGCCACAACUGGCACAGAUGUGUGGAGAGCCCUUUCCAGGCCUUUGUUCCCUCCUUCCUGGGUCCUCUGAGCCUACGGGCCUGCCUCUCGGCCUGGCUGUGGCUCCCCCGAGAUGCAGCCGGUCUUUGCUACCAGACAAGCCUGGUGCAGAGCCACAGUGACACCUAGUGGUGAAGUGUGGUGAAGCAAGGUGACAUCCACAAAAAAACCCCACUGUGACUAAAAUCUAAGGAAAAUACUAAUGGAUAUUAAAUUAGAUAUGGAUUCAUUUUUCUAUUGGGUACAUCUCUGGGAUAUAAAAAUACCAAUAUUUAGAGACGGGGGUUCAUAAACUACUGUACAAUAUAAGGACCGAGAAUACCUUUCUCUAAGCUGUUCUGUUUACAGUAACUUAGGAAAGUGUUUAAUAAUCCAGGCUUAACUAAAUUAGCAAACUCAUAUCUCUGGACAACAACCUUGGGUACUGUACAUGAUUCUAAUUCGUGGAGUUUUCCUGAGCCUUCAAGUUAAACACGUCUAGAAAGAAGGGCAUGUGGGAGAGGGACGGGAAGGGUUUGUGCUCUAUUAACUUGGGACUUUUAAUAGUGCACGUCUGCAACCCGGAGAAGAUACAAGAGCAGAUACAAAAUGGUCUCCAUUUUGUCCAUGCCAAAUUCUCAUGUUACACAGGGUUUUCCCUUUACUUUGUAAAUAAACAUUAAUUUUUAAUUGUUAAUUGUGUGCCUUACUGAUCCAGUAAAUAAAGUAACCAUGUCUCAGGAGUCCCUAAGAAAAUUGCUGGAAAAGCACUUUAAAAUCACUGCAAAUAUUUUUUGUCUUUAAAAAGUCUUAAUCUUUUUGAUGCUUAUAUACAAGUUAUUUCUUGUGCUAUAAAUGUUGUGAUCCACUGCUUGCUUGCUUUCUUUUUAAUCCCUUUGAAAAACACAAUAAAAGACAAGGGAGCUUUUGCCAUUUUCUAAUGAAGACAUUACUCACACUUAAAUAUCCAGUUAGUUACUUAUCAGAGUUACAAAUUCAAACAAUAAAGUGCACCCAUUAUAGACACGAUGUGAUGGAAACCCAUUAGUGCAAGAAUUCUGGGUGAGUGGAAGGUACUAUUUGAUGAGAAACCUGUAAGCUGAAGUCUGUCACCGCUGUCUCCGUCUCAGGGUGAUGUGAAGUGGGUGAGUGGAACUUACCAGGUUGAUCUGAAAAACGUCCCCCCACCUGAAGCCAGACAUGGAUGCCAGCAAGUGAGGGGGCAUCUCUAAGAUACAGUACUAAGAUCAUCCCGUGGCAGUGAAGUAGCAAAACAGGGCACAGGCAGUCUGCUGACAAAGAAGAGCUUUGCCUCCUGCUCCAGUAAGGUCCAGCUGGCACUUUUUAGGCAAAAACAACCGGCGCCCAGUAGUGGCAUUCACGCCCUCUUACAAUGGCCACAAAAAGACUGUAUUUUGACUGUUGACAGCUUAGGUGUUUUGUCCAAAAAGGCAUGGACCCUAAACCUGUCUGCCCUAAAAAAUCCUAAGAGACAUGCUCGGGAGAAGUGGCGUCGAUGGCAUAUUUAUAAAACUACAGAACCUGCUCACCCACUCAGGCAAGAGCAGGUGGUAUGUGUGGUGCUGUGAAUAAACAGGGGCACUUUUCUAACGGACACUGAGAAAUUCUCAAGAUGCGGCAGCAGCUCCUCAGUGAGAGGUGGUUAAGAAGGGUGAGAUGCAAAGGGCCCAACAGGGCUGAGACCUGGACAGAAAAUGCUGAGAGGCUGCUGGGCUCCUGGUCGUGGGCUGAUGCCACAGCUGUGCAUUUCAUCAUCUCGGUGAGAGAGAGAGGAGAGAAGAGACACUGAUGUCCGCUCUGGGCUAGCUGAGUGGGAGACAGUCCCUAAAAAUCAGAGAGUGGACAGAGUCUGGGUCUUGGACCAGCCCUGCCGUUUACUUCCAGCACAGAGACACACACAUCCUGGCCUGUUCCAGGCUAGCGGGGGGGAGGGGUGCAUCUAUUUGGCAGAAUCUAUGUUAGUACAGAAGUGUUUCUGAUUUCAGCUUCACGGUCCCCAUGACUUAACACUUCUUUCAGAGGACACUUAGUAUUACAAACAGGUCUGGUCACAUCUGGAUUUCUGUUCAGGAAACUGCCCUUCCUGUAGCCCUUUACUAACAAGAGCAGAAUGAUUCCUGUAACAGAGAACAAAUUCCCUUUUGUUUAGUUUUAGAUGUUUAGUUUGUUAAUUUAAGAGCUGACGAACAGUUGCUACCGGGCCUGUGCUAAGGCUUUGGUUCCAGAGUUCUUGUUGCUGGCCUCAGUCACGCAAAAGGACUGGUUAGCAAAUGACCACAAGACACAGGCGAUGGGUGCAGGUUAUGGGGUCAGAAGGCUUACUGUCCAUCUCAUGCUCUCCCCCAGAGGGCUGAAAGGGGUCUUUCUUCACCCUGAAACACUUCACUGUAUCUGGAUUUUAAAUAUCACUCCUGAGAUGUCCCUGGCAUUCAAGUGGUUAAGACUCUGCACUUCCACUGCAAGGGGUGUGGGUUCGAUCCCUGGUCGGGGAAGCAAGAUGCCACG